AGAGUUUGAUCCUGGCUCAGAAUCAACGCUGGCGGCGUGCCUAACACAUGCAAGUCGAACGCGAAAACCUCGCAAGGGGUUAGUAGAGUGGCAAACGGGUGAGUAACACGUGGGUGACCUGCCUUAGAGUGGGGGAUAACGUCCCGAAAGGGACGCUAAUACCGCAUAACAUCCUGCCUUUGAAGAGGUGGAGAUCAAAGCUGGGGACCGCAAGGCCUAGCGCUUAGAGAGGGGCCCGCGUCUGAUUAGCUAGUUGGUGGGGUAAUGGCUCACCAAGGCAACGAUCAGUAUCCGGCCUGAGAGGGCGGACGGACACACUGGGACUGAGACACGGCCCAGACUCCUACGGGAGGCAGCAGUGGGGAAUUGUUCGCAAUGGGCGCAAGCCUGACGACGCAACGCCGCGUGGAGGAUGAAGACCUUCGGGUCGUAAACUCCUUUCGAUCGAGACGAAUGGUUCCUGGGUUAACAGCCCAGGAGAAUGACGGUACCGAGAGAAGAAGCCCCGGCUAACUCCGUGCCAGCAGCCGCGGUA
Molecule: ribosomal RNA, 535 nt
Filed under: uncultured Acidobacteriota bacterium
Lineage: Bacteria; Pseudomonadati; Acidobacteriota
Description: bacterial SSU rRNA
Rfam family: Bacterial small subunit ribosomal RNA
Source: RNAcentral